Molecule: signal recognition particle RNA, 95 nt
Filed under: Candidatus Pelagibacter sp.
Lineage: Bacteria; Pseudomonadati; Pseudomonadota; Alphaproteobacteria; Candidatus Pelagibacterales; Candidatus Pelagibacteraceae
Description: signal recognition particle sRNA small type
Rfam family: Bacterial small signal recognition particle RNA
About the family: The signal recognition particle (SRP) is a universally conserved ribonucleoprotein involved in the co-translational targeting of proteins to membranes. Archaeal SRP consists of a 7S RNA and homologues of the eukaryotic SRP19 and SRP54 proteins. In most bacteria, the SRP consists of a 4.5S RNA and the Ffh protein (a homologue of the eukaryotic SRP54 protein).
Source: RNAcentral
UUUUGGGGGCUAGGGCGUUUGCUUCAUGAAACCGGUCAGGGAAGAAAUUCAGCAGCCGAACUAAAAGUGGAACGGGUCUAGUCUCCUCAUUUUAU